This 97-nucleotide ribosomal RNA is filed under the name Microcebus murinus (gray mouse lemur). The record is from RNAcentral. Lineage: Eukaryota; Metazoa; Chordata; Mammalia; Primates; Cheirogaleidae.
UGUCUACGGCCAUAACACCCUGAAUGUGCUCAAUCUCUGAAGCUAAGCAGGGUUGGGGCUGGUUAGUACUUGGACAGGAGAUAUGCCACCAUGAUAC